This 229-nucleotide ribosomal RNA is filed under the name uncultured bacterium. RNAcentral's name for it is "partial 16S ribosomal RNA". It matches the Rfam family "Bacterial small subunit ribosomal RNA", at positions 95 to 334 of the family's 1533-position model. The record is from RNAcentral.
CGGGCGAACGGGUGAGUAACACGUAGGUGAUCUGCCCAUCAGACGGGGACAACGAUUGGAAACGAUCGCUAAUACCGGAUAGGACGAAAGUUUAAAGGUGCUUCUGGCACCGCUGAUGGAUGAGCCUGCGGCGCAUUAGCUAGUUGGUAGGGUAAAGGCCUACCAAGGCGACGAUGCGUAGCCGACCUGAGAGGGUGAACGGCCACACUGGGACUGAGACACGGCCCAG